AAAUUUAUCAUUAAUUUGAAUUUUAUUUUCAAAAUAUUCUCCCUAUAACAUUUAAAGACAAUAUAUAAUAUUUAAUGACAAUGUAUAGUAGUAAUUUCACCACUGCCACUAAUACCGUUAAAAUUGUUGUUAUUGCAAAACAAUGAAUGUAAUUUUAUCAAAAUUAUAAGUAACUUUAAUUUCUUUGUUAUUUAGGAGCAAGCAUAGUAUAUUGAAAGUCACGUUUUCAAAAGAGUACAGUUUCCUCCAAUUGAUUGCCCUUUACGGACCACAUUAAUUAUUCGGCCUGUUUGUCUAAUAGGUAUCUAUAGAUCUAUUGUUCUUUUAAAAAAAAAAAAUUAUAUUGAUUUGCUAAUUGUACCACAUUCACUACAAUAAAUUUGAGUUUUAAAGACGAAUUUUUAGGAACAAAAAUAACUAGUUUGCAAAAAUCAUGUUUUUAAGAACAAAAUGAAGAAAUUUAAAAAAGAGAAACAUUUAAUCAUGUUAUUACCUUUUUGAAACAAGUCUAUUUGAUUGCAAAAACGUCAUUCACUUUUCUCUACAAUUUUAAUCGGUUUCCAAUAAACCAAAAUCAUACAUUAUUUUAUUUUAUAUAUUCAUUCUUUAAGCUCAACAAUCGGGACACUCGAAAAGAAUGUCCUCUCUCUCUCUCUCUCUCGAAUGCACUGCACUUCUUUCUAUCUCAUGAAUUGGUGGUUUGUUGAUUGCUUCUGAGAUUCAAUCCCUAAUUUGAUUUUGAUGAUAAUUUCAUCUCCGAGGUGUCUCACAGCAUUUCUCCCGACAGCAAUUUUAGUAUCCAGGAGUGAUCAAUUAAUCGAUUUCAGUCUCAUAGAUAUGGUUUUCGAUCUGUUGUUCGCAUUUGUUCUUUGAAAAUUCUUAUUUAUUGGUGUAAUGUUUGUGCUGAUUAUAUAUUAUCAUAAUAUGAUUUGUUUUUAAUGCGUAUUUGUGAGUGUUAGAUUCGGUAAUUGUAGAUAUGAUAGUCGAUUACUCAUUUGAGCUAAAAUAUGUACGAAAUCAAUGAUGUUGUGGUUUUGUAUUGGAGUUUUUGCUCUGUAAUUUUGGUAAUUUGGAUUUGGUAAUUGUGCAAUUGAGUUGGUCUCUGUCACUAUAUGAAAUUCGGUCACUAGAGCUCUGUGAAUUUGAAUUUCUGCAACUAUUUUUCUGUCUAUUGUUAAGCAAUUUUCUCUCUCCAUUACUGAGAAUUCAAGUAUUUUCAACUCUUUCUAUCUCUCUGCAAUAUUUGUAAUUUAUGAGUUAUUGGAUGGCUAUUUAACACAAAAUUAUUUGGGUGAACUCUUACUAGUGUCAAGGUGACAACAUAGCAUAGGUUAUGACCUUCAAUUCAAGUUCUAUGAAAAUAAAAAUAAAAAUAAAAAUGAGGCAAUUCAAAUUCCAGAAGAUCUUAUAUCGUCAAGUAGCUAAUUAUUGGUAUUUUUAAAUUUAAAAUCGUUAAGUCAGCCUUAUUUCAAUCUCAUAUCCAACAAGAAAAGAAAUAUGUGUUCAGCCUUACUUUUUUGUUUAAUAGAUGGACAAAUAGAUUGUGUUCAGCCUUCUUCAAUUAUUUCAAUGUCACCUCUGCAAACUGUUUUAAUAUGAACCGUCGUGGGAUGGUAGGGUAGUUUAUCUAACAAAAUAUCUGAGAGCUCACCUACUUGCAUCUUAGAGAGCUGAAAAUGAAAUUCUAGAUGUUUUUAUUUUUUGUAAGGGACUGAUUGGUAACAAGAGGAUUUUUAGAGAGAGAGAGAGAGAGAGAGUUACUGGUAUUGAGAUGGAGAUUGGAAUCCAAAUUAGCAAAUUUGCAUAUGUUGUUAAAAUUUGUAAUAAGUUUGAAAAAAAAAUAUUAAUGAAAUAUAAAUCUAGAGAUUUUUUUUUUUAUUUUUUUAUAACUAAAUUUAAAUAAAGAAUUAAUGUAUAUUAUUACAGUUUAAAUCAAAAUAUAAGGACCCAUUUGUAAAUUAAAAAAAAAAGAGCCUAAGAAACAAAAAUUAAUUUGUCGAUAUUAUUUUUAUGGAGAUUUUAAUAAGGGCCCCUAUAGACCAUAAGAAUUUACAGGGGCAGAGGCAUGAUAACACAAAAUCAACGAGGUUAUGAUGAAAAAGGAUUGAAUUGCUUUGGCCAAGCACAAGACUUGAGCUGGAUUUAAUUUGUAUUGGUUAUAUUUAAGCUUGAGUUAGAUUUAAUUUAAAUUGGCUUACAUUAAAUAAUAUUUUACUUUGUGUUAUGUUUAAAUGUUAAUGACUUAUUUAUUUUAAUUAUUUAUUAUUGAUUGACAUCUAAUUGUAGCAUCAUAUUUCCUAUUUUAGUAUAUCCUAAUUUUUAAGCUUUUAAGCAUGUUAUGUUCUUUAUCCCCUCCUAGUUCAACACUUUUGUUACUUUCUGUUUGUUUUUCCUUUAGUUCUUUUGCACUAUGGAUAGGAGUUGGAUGCAACUUCAUAAUAGAAGGUCACCUCAGUACAUUGAUGGGGGUGAGGGAGGGAAUUUAUCAUAUUUGCUUGUGAUCAUAUGAAACCAGGGGUGGAUAAGAGGUACAUUAUGCUGGAAGUUCUUCGAACCCAUAUCUAAAUGAUGAUAUUCUGGACUUGGUUUCUUGGAAUGAAGAUGAUGACAGUGUAAUUUUUUUAUUGUUUGGUAUGACAGGAAGGUAAGUUUACCAAUGAACCCUAUACUAUCGAAUCUAUCCUCAAAUUGAUGCACGACCGAUAUAAGAACUAUUGAUGACCUACGACAAAACUCUUUUAAAAGUUUUCCCUCACCAAUGGAAAAAGAGUGUGGAGGUUAUUGUGCCAAAAGUGGUAUGAGAAGGACUAUAAGGUAACUUUGUAAUUUUGUGCUCAUUUUCUGUCAUUCUGUUUAGAAAAUCAGUGUAUUUUUAACAUUGUCUUACUGUAUAUUAAACAUGAUGUAUUCCUUAUGUCAGGUAAAUAUUUGGCACUUGCAUAUAUUCUUUAGGAACUUGGAUUUGUUGAGUUGUACAAAAAGACACAUUUUAGUGACAAAAAAGAGGCAUGAGUGCAUGUUGAUGUUGAGAUUUAGACAUGUAAGACAUCAAUCUUUAUGUACUUUAGUUUCUUAUAUCCUUAAUAAAAUGUUGAUGGAUACUUAGUUUUAUCUCAACUAAUGAAUAUCGUAGUACAAGCUUGAAAAGCGAUUGAACAAAACUAUUGAAGAUGGAUCUGGUCCGCUAUCCGAUGAGCAACUUUCUAUUGAGGUAUUUAGACAAAAAGUUGGCUACAUACGAGGCUUAGGGCGUGGUCGAAAACCAUGUACAGCAUUAUCUGAAAACGUACUCUUGCCUAACUCGACUAUAAUUAAUGCCAAAAUCGACUUCUUGAUGCCGUAGAUCAGUUAAAGAGGGUCCUCUAUUGAUUUUUCUUCUUAGUAAGUUAUCUUUUGUGAUCUAUAUUUGAUUUUUUUUGUGGGUUUCUAUACAGCAGCAUUAAGUAAUUUACACAUUCAGCUUGCAAUUGACAAAACAUACACAUUGCAUUAGCAUUCUCUCUCUCUCUCUCUCUCUCUCUCUCUUUAUAUAUAUAUAUAUAUAUAUAUCUCUGUUCUCAGUUAAUGUCUUCAUCAUCUGCUCAGAUGCUGCAUGAGUGGGACUUUUUUUUUUUCCCCCUAUGAUGUGAUCUCUACUGUUUGCUAGAAAAUGCAUGAAAUUUUACAUCUUUUGCUUCCAUAUACACGCGUAUAUUGAAUUGGUCUGUGUCGAGAAUUUUCUUGAGCUGCACGGCAAUUUUAUGGUUGAAGGAAAUGGAUCUUUUGGGUUGGGAAAGUUACUUUUGUUGGAUAUUGACGUCAGUGGGAGUUUAUUCCUCUUGCAAAUGUAUAUGUUUGUGGAGAAUGACUUGUCGUGAACAUAAAGUAAAGGUGAGCUUGCUCUCAAUUUGUCUUAAAUGUAAUUGGCUGUAAAUUAUAGGCUGCCUCAUUUACUGAUCAUUUUUUUUUU
Molecule: non-coding RNA, 3949 nt
Organism: Camellia sinensis
Lineage: Eukaryota; Viridiplantae; Streptophyta; Magnoliopsida; Ericales; Theaceae
Source: RefSeq, a predicted model, not a curated record